CUGUUCAGACUAGCCAUGCAUGUCUAAGUAUAAAUAACUACACAGUAAAACUGCGAAUGGCUCAUUAAAACAGUUAUAGUUUAUUUGAUAUAUUAUAUGGAUAACUGUAGAAAAACUAGAGCUAAUACAUGCCAUAACCGUAAGGUUGUAUUUAUUAGAUAUUCCUGGUAGGUGAUUCAUAAUAACUUAGCGAAUCGUGACUCGUUCACGAUAAAUCAUUCAAGUUUCUGCCCUAUCAUGCUUUCGAUGGUAGUGUAUUGGACUACCAUGGCUCUCACGGGUAACGGAGAAUUAGGGUUCGAUUCCGGAGAAGGAGCCUGAGAAACGGCUACUACAUCUAAGGAAGGCAGCAGGCGCGUAAAUUACCCAAUCCUGAUUCAGGGAGGUAGCGACAAGAUAUAACAACGUGAAGUCAAAUUCGCGAUUGUAGUGAGGUUAUUCCAAACCGAAAUUCGAGUACGAUUGGAGGAUAAGUCUUGGUGCCAGCACCCGCGGUAAUU
This 500-nucleotide ribosomal RNA is filed under the name uncultured eukaryote. Its description in RNAcentral is "SSU rRNA". It matches the Rfam family "Eukaryotic small subunit ribosomal RNA", at positions 36 to 584 of the family's 1831-position model. The record is from RNAcentral.